This 322-nucleotide ribosomal RNA is filed under the name uncultured eukaryote. RNAcentral describes it as "partial 18S ribosomal RNA". It matches the Rfam family "Eukaryotic small subunit ribosomal RNA", at positions 1470 to 1796 of the family's 1831-position model. The record is from RNAcentral.
CCCUUAGAUGUUCUGGGCCGCACGCGUGCUACACUGAGUGGAUCAGCGGGUCAGGUUGCGCGAAAGUGUUUCCUAAUCUUUAAAUCCGCUCGUGAUGGGGAUUGACGGUUGCAAUUUUCCGUCAUGAACGGGGAAUACCUUGUAAGCGCGGGUCAUCAUCCCGCGCUGAAUACGUCCCUGCCCUUUGUACACACCGCCCGUCGCUCCUACCGAUUGAGUGGUCCGGUGAGGCUUUGGGAUCUGGGCGGAAAGAGCGUUUCGCUGUUUCUGCCCGGAAAACUCAGUCGAACCUUAUCAUUUAGAGGAAGGAGAAGUCGUAACA